Molecule: long non-coding RNA, 637 nt
Organism: Solanum lycopersicum (tomato)
Lineage: Eukaryota; Viridiplantae; Streptophyta; Magnoliopsida; Solanales; Solanaceae
Source: RefSeq, a predicted model, not a curated record
CUCUGUUCAGGAGUCUUUGCCUUCAAAAACCGGACAGCAAUUGAUAGAGUUUGACGAUCGAGCUGCAGCAAAAAAAGAUCACAUGAGUACUAGAAUCAACAAAAAUAACUCUUCAUUCCGUACAAGUAUAUAAUGAGAAACAGACAGAGGAAGCAUUGUGUUUGAGAUAAAUUGUUCGGGUCUUGUAUGCUACCUAGUAGAAAAACAUUGUGGAAUUAGGAAGAACUCCAUCAACUGGUCAUACCGCCUAUUGAAGAAGCAGACUGGCCUACGGCAUUUCACUGGAUUAAGAGGGGUCUCUCCUCACCCUUUGAGAAAAAUGCUGAGUAUUCCCGGCUUUUCCAGAGCAAAGGAGAGCAAAAGCUAUAGUUGUGAUAUGUGUUUAUCUCAUAUGUGAUGUAACAAUCUAAGCAUACAAACUUCCACUUCCCUCCACAUGGAAUAUGCUACAACAGAAGAACAAGAACAGUAUUCCCUCCUUUCAUACACAGACUGUAAUCUCUCUCUCUCUCUCUUUCUCCCUCUCACACACACACACAGAGUGUCGAGAACACUCACAAAUGGACAAGAUGGGUACAUUCUUAAUAAUUAUGUACCACACCUUAUUUUUAUUUGGAUAACUCUGUACCUAAUAUCA